Long non-coding RNA from Carya illinoinensis, 588 nucleotides. RefSeq lists it as uncharacterized. Lineage: Eukaryota; Viridiplantae; Streptophyta; Magnoliopsida; Fagales; Juglandaceae. The transcript has 2 exons. The record is from RefSeq and is a predicted model, not a curated record.
UAAGGCUUUAGAGCAUUCCCAUCCAGUAUCCUAAACUAUUGUUAUCUCUGAAUUUUGGGGGAAGCUGAAAAACCCCCUCGCAUCUUAUUCCUUAAAUUAGGGAUUUCAUUUAGGGGAAUAUGGAGAACCACUGUACAUCCCUAAUCGUCCAUCUCUUUCCUUUCCUAUUGUUGGUCCUGUGUGUUCCUCUCUCUCCACUCUCGAUUGCCUUCUCUUGUGUCGUUUGCCACUUUUGAUGGUGGCUUCUCUUCAUCAGCCCAAAUAUAUCUUUUGGUAUUGAUUUUAGGCCUAUUUUUUGGGGCUUCGUGUUUAGUGCAAGGCUGUGAUGAUGGUUCUAAUUACUCCAUGGAAGGGUUUAAUUCACAGGUGUUUUUAAUAGAACUCCAUCGAUAUGGCAAGGUAAUCUGAACCCAAAUGACCACAAACUAUUUUGUGAUCGUUUUCACAAAAGACAACUAGGGUUUUUGAUUUUGUAGCCAUUUUCUUAGUUGGACUCGUAUCUUAUACAUAAUGUAAAUAAUAAGACCAUUCUAAGCUCUAUGUAACACACAUUCUUUGGGGAUUUCAAUGCAUUCAUAGAUUUUUUUU